Molecule: ribosomal RNA, 465 nt
Filed under: Vreelandella stevensii
Lineage: Bacteria; Pseudomonadati; Pseudomonadota; Gammaproteobacteria; Oceanospirillales; Halomonadaceae
Description: partial 16S ribosomal RNA
Rfam family: Bacterial small subunit ribosomal RNA
Source: RNAcentral
CCUACGGGUGGCUGCAGUGGGGAAUAUUGGACAAUGGGGGGAACCCUGAUCCAGCCAUGCCGCGUGUGUGAAGAAGGCCCUCGGGUUGUAAAGCACUUUCAGUGAGGAAGAACGCCUGGUGGUUAAUACCCAUCAGGAAAGACAUCACUCACAGAAGAGGCACCGGCUAACUCCGUGCCAGCAGCCGCGGUAAUACGGAGGGUGCGAGCGUUAAUCGGAAUUACUGGGCGUAAAGCGCGCGUAGGUGGCUUGAUAAGCCGGUUGUGAAAGCCCCGGGCUCAACCUGGGAACGGCAUCCGGAACUGUCAAGCUAGAGUGCAGGAGAGGAAGGUAGAAUUCCCGGUGUAGCGGUGAAAUGCGUAGAGAUCGGGAGGAAUACCAGUGGCGAAGGCGGCCUUCUGGACUGACACUGACACUGAGGUGCGAAAGCGUGGGUAGCAAACAGGAUUAGAUACCCUAGUAGUC